GGGGUCGAAUAGGAUUCGACGCCGGCUUCAGAACCUUAGGUGCAUGCCGAGUUGGUAACAGAACUCGUAAAUCCACUGUUGCAACUUCUUAUAGUUGCCAAUGACAAUGCCUUCGAGGGCGCACGUCUCGCUGCUUAAGUGCAGCUGAAACGCCCUUCUGGUCACUUCGGUGCCAGCGAUCAUUAGAGGAUGCCUGUAAACUCGAAAUGAUUGUCAUGCAGAACAGGAUCGUCGUGCAGCACGUUGUGGGCGUAGCGACUAAAACUUACACAACUCGUCCAAAACACCCUGCCGAUCGGGCGGUUGCGGAUUAACACAGUAGACGCGGCUAAGCAUGUAGUUGACCGAUGGCAACGGGCUGGCGGACGGGGUUUCGAAACCCCCGACUCCACCA
This 394-nucleotide transfer-messenger RNA is filed under the name Pseudomonas taiwanensis. It matches the Rfam family "transfer-messenger RNA". Rfam says of the family: Bacterial tmRNA, also known as 10Sa RNA or SsrA, is named for its dual tRNA and mRNA-like properties. Its role is to liberate the mRNA from a stalled ribosome. Lineage: Bacteria; Pseudomonadati; Pseudomonadota; Gammaproteobacteria; Pseudomonadales; Pseudomonadaceae. The record is from RNAcentral.